GAUGAACGCUGGCGGCGUGCCUAAUACAUGCAAGUCGAGCGAACAGACGAGGAGCUUGCUCCUCUGACGUUAGCGGCGGACGGGUGAGUAACACGUGGAUAACCUACCUAUAAGUCUGGGAUAACUUCGGGAAACCGGCGCUAAUACCGGAUAAUAUCUUGCACCGCAUGGUUCAAUUGUGAAAGACGGUUUUGCUGUCACUUCUAGAUGGAUCCGCGCCGCAUUAGCUAGUUGGUAAGGUCACGGCUUACCAAGGCAACGAUGCGUAGCCGACCUGAGAGGGUGAUAGGCCGCACGGGAACUGAGACACGGUCCAGACUACUAAGGGAGGGAGCAGUAGGGAAUCUUACGCAAUGGGCGAAAGCAUGACGGAGCAACGCCGCGUGAGUGAUGAAGGUCUUCGGAUCGUAAAACUCUGUUAUUAGGGAAGAACAAAUGUGUAAGUAAAUAUGCACGUCGUGACGGUAACUAAUCAGAAAGCCACGGCUAACUACGUG
This 497-nucleotide ribosomal RNA is filed under the name uncultured bacterium. Its description in RNAcentral is "partial 16S ribosomal RNA". It matches the Rfam family "Bacterial small subunit ribosomal RNA", at positions 28 to 507 of the family's 1533-position model. The record is from RNAcentral.